Molecule: ribosomal RNA, 492 nt
Filed under: uncultured bacterium
Lineage: Bacteria
Description: partial 16S ribosomal RNA
Rfam family: Bacterial small subunit ribosomal RNA
Source: RNAcentral
AGUGAACGCUGGCGGUAGGCCUAACACAUGCAAGUCGAACGGCAGCACAGUAAGAGCUUGCUCUUACGGGUGGCGAGUGGCGGACGGGUGAGGAAUACAUCGGAAUCUACUUUUUCGUGGGGGAUAACGUAGGGAAACUUACGCUAAUACCGCAUACGCCCUACGGGUGAAAGCAGGGGAUCUUCGGACCUUGCGCGAUUGAAUGAGCCGAUGUCGGAUUAGCUAGUUGGCGGGGUAAAGGCCCACCAAGGCGACGAUCCGUAGCUGGUCUGAGAGGAUGAUCAGCCACACUGGAACUGAGACACGGUCCAGACUACUACGGGAGGCAGCAGUGGGGAAUAUUGGACAAUGGGCGCAAGCCUGAUCCAGCCAUACCGCGUGGGUGAAGAAGGCCUUCGGGUUGUAAAGCCCUUUUGUUGGGAAAGAAAAGCAGCAGGUUAAGACCCCGCUGUUCUGACGGUACCCAAAGAAUAAGCACCGGCUAACUUCGUG